UCUACCAAAGGAUAGUAGUAUUCCCC
This 26-nucleotide transfer RNA is filed under the name Gracililima nyassae (Black file snake). RNAcentral describes it as "partial tRNA-Leu". The record is from RNAcentral. Lineage: Eukaryota; Metazoa; Chordata; Lepidosauria; Squamata; Lamprophiidae.